AACGAACGCUGGCGGCAUGCCUAACACAUGCAAGUCGAGCGAGACCUUCGGGUCUAGUGGCGCACGGGUGCGUAACGCGUGGGAACCUGCCCUUAGGUUCGGAAUAACUCCCCGAAAGGGGUGCUAAUACCGGAUAAUGUCUUCGGACCAAAGAUUUAUCGCCUUUGGAUGGGCCCGCGUUGGAUUAGCUAGUUGGUAGGGUAAAAGCCUACCAAGGCGACGAUCCAUAGCUGGUCUGAGAGGAUGAUCAGCCACACUGGGACUGAGACACGGCCCAGACUCCUACGGGAGGCAGCAGUGGGGAAUAUUGGACAAUGGGCGAAAGCCUGAUCCAGCAAUGCCGCGUGAGUGAUGAAGGCCUUAGGGUUGUAAAGCUCUUUUAACCGGGAUGAUAAUGACAGUACCGGGAGAAUAAGCCCCGGCUAACUCCGUG
This 433-nucleotide ribosomal RNA is filed under the name uncultured bacterium. Its description in RNAcentral is "partial 16S ribosomal RNA". It matches the Rfam family "Bacterial small subunit ribosomal RNA", at positions 29 to 507 of the family's 1533-position model. The record is from RNAcentral.